CAAUAGCGUAUAUUAAAGUUGUUGCAGUUAAAAAGCUCGUAGUUGGAUUUGUGGCGUACGGUGUGUUCCGGGCACUUGUUGUCUGAGUAACCUGCUGUUGCCAUCCUUGGGUGGAACCUGUGUGGCAUUAGGUUGUCGUGCAGGGGAUGCCCAUCAUUUACUGUGAAAAAAUUAGAGUGUUCAAAGCAGGCUUAUGCCGUUGAAUAUAUUAGCAUGGAAUAAUGAGAUAGGACUUUUUUGCUAUUUUGUUGGUUUGCGCAAAGAGGUAAUGAUUAAUAGGGACAGUUGGGGGUAUUCGUAUUCCAUUGUCAGAGGUGAAAUUCUUGGAUUUUUGGAAGACGAACUACUGCAAAAGCAUUUACCAAGGAUGUUUUCAUUA
Molecule: ribosomal RNA, 379 nt
Filed under: uncultured eukaryote
Lineage: Eukaryota
Description: partial 18S ribosomal RNA
Rfam family: Eukaryotic small subunit ribosomal RNA
Source: RNAcentral